Molecule: long non-coding RNA, 3957 nt
Filed under: Homo sapiens (human)
Lineage: Eukaryota; Metazoa; Chordata; Mammalia; Primates; Hominidae
Description: HSALNT0336255
Source: RNAcentral
GGUGGAUUCAGGGGCAUAUAUGUACAUAAAAAUUCAUCGGGCUGCACACUUCAGAUUUGUUCGUUUUACUGUAUGUGUGUUAUAGCUCAUAAAGAACAAAAAGGUAUCCACAAAAGGAAGUUAUGCUUACACACAGCCAUGUCUGUCUGAACUUGUUAGGUUUAAAUCAACAUUAGUCGGCACUGAAAGCUCAUGAAGAAAAAACUAGAGUCUGCAGAGGAUUUUCCCACUGCUUCUCUCCUGCUUGUGCAAUCUCUGAAGGAAGUGAGGGCUGGAGGGGCUGUGAAUUUCCAGAAGCAAGGCUUGUGACAUUGCCUAUGUCGGGGGUCACAGGAGACAGGUGUGGUAUGGACAAGAAGAUGGACAGCAGAUCCUUGUGGUGCCUGUGUGUUUGGCAUGGAUUUGAAGGUGUUUGGGAAAGGGAGGAAAGAAGAAAAAUGUUUGAAGAAGGAAGGACGGGACCCUCGAUUUGGAAAUUAAAGUAUUCUAGGCCUGGACGCUGUGAGGAGACCAGCAUGAGCCAAGAGGACCACAGCAGCAAAUACCAAUACCCACCCACCCACCAAAAACCAAUAUCUCAUCCCUCCACUGGGCCCACAACAGUCUCCCACCUGCAGAGCUGUCAAAUUCCUGCCAGAUCAAGGUGUCCAAACCAAGCUGAAGAAUGACAUUUCAAGUAUUUUCUGAAGGAAGGGAAGGGAAGGAGGAAGGAAGGGCUGUGCAGUAAGUGACUGUUCUCACAGCUGUGAUCACGAGCCAUUGUCAUUCAAGUGCCCACCUUGUCUUGCUGUGUACUCAUUGUCUUCUAUCAAUCGGGCCAAUCCGAAGUCAGCAAUCUUGCAUAUGAGUCCAUUCCCCACUAGAAUGUUUGCUGAUCGCAGAUCUCUAUGGAUAUAAUUCAUGCGCUCGAUGUAAGCCAUUCCUGCAGCCACCUGUGGAAACCCAGGGAACAGGACAUGUUACACCACGACCCAAUGUACUUAGACACGUCAUUAAAUCUAUGGCACAUCAAGUUACCCUGCAGGGCCUACCUGUGCUGCCAUGUCCACAAGAUUUGGUAAUUUCAGAGCUCUUCCUUCUCCAUCUUUUAAGAAAUCCAGUAAACUUCCUAUGAACAAAACAUAAAAUCAUUUCAAUUUACUUUGAAAGAUAAUUCCCAACAGAGAGCUGUAUUUGGUUUUCUUAUUAAAAGUAAUAAGGUAGUCAAAUGGAAUAAUGCCAUCCACAUGGGGGGACAAAAAGGUUUAUAUAAAAAAGCAGGGUAGAAAAAAGUAUAGGCAUGGAGAAGUAACAGUUACCUUUUAAAAACAAACAGCAUUAAUUCCAUUUCUAGGAAUAACAACAUAUAUUUGAUAAAACUAGAAGAAAUGGGACUCAAUCUCCCUGUAUGUCAUAAAGAGGAACCUAUGAAGAACUGCACCUCUUCAAUCCCAUUCCCCAAUCACCCCUGCACAAAGAAUUGAUGUGGGGAAAAUACAGCCCAGCUGAGUGGUCCAAAACUGUGGUCCUGGGACCAGCAGCUACAAUAACACAAGGGAACUUGUUAGAUAUGCAAAUUCUCAGGUCCCAUCCCAGAUCGAGUAAAUCAGAAACUUUGAAGGUUGGGUCCAGAAACUUGGGUUUUAAGAAGGCCUACAGGUGAUUCUAAUAAUACAAGGUAAAGUUUGAGACUCACUAGCUUAGCUUAUUUACAGAUUUUGAAUCAAGAAAAGACAAUCUGAAGAAUAUGGGUGGGGCAGAUGGUUCCCCUUAAUUAGAUCACAGCCAGCCAAGCCUUAAAUCAGACAUCUGAAAUGAAACAUUGGAAGCUUCAGAGCCACUAUUAUAACACAGCCUAAGAAGGCUUAGAACUAACACCAAAGCAGGGAUAAUCAUUUGCAGAAGCUGGAGGCUUAUGAUGGUCAUCAGUGAUAUUUUAUGCUUUAAUCACAAAGUUAUUUACAAAAUAACCCUGGAUACAAAGGACAAACCGUUUGCCAGAAAAAAAAAUUCCCAUUAAAUUUUAAAAGAAAGUACAUGGAAAAGAAAAAUUACACUGGUAUCCUCUGAUAAACAAUGUAUUGCCUUUUAAGGCUGUUUCUUGUUUGGUUCAUCUAUUUUUCCAAAACAAAAUGAUCUCUGGCCUUAUCCCUAACAAUGCUGGUUUGAUUAGGAAGACAGAGGGGUUGUAGGGGAGAGAAUGUGAGAAUAAAUGUGGUCUCUGAAAGCAUGUAAUUUCAUCGCCUGACGUUUAAGAAGAGAGCUGGAAAUAAAAAAGAUGUUGAAAUGAUGGAGACUAAACUUAGCUUAGAGACCAGUGUCUGAUAUUAAUUGUUUAGCCCUGCAAAAAGGAAAUGUAACAAAAGCUACUACAUUCAAAAUAACAGCAAACUAUCAUAACCCUCCGUACCACCCUGAUAUUAAAAAUGAAUGUUUUAAUUAUGGAGAGGAGCUUGAAUUUCUGACACACAUAACAUGUAAAAAGUAUUUGGCAUUUCAUAAGGAUUUGGGGUGGGGUAAACGCAAGGUUAGUCUGUUUUAAAAAAUGUUUUCAUUAACGAGCACAUAACUGGUGGUUCCUAAUGGGAAUACUUGACCCAGGCAGAAACUAGAAAAGUAGCAAGUAGGAAACUUCCAUUUCUCUCCCCUAAACAACCCCUUAAGGCACUGUGAGCUGGAGACAGGAGAGGUGUUGCCCAACCUUUGUUCAUAUACUCGGUGACGAUGUAGAUGGGCUCCUCAGACACCACUGCAUAGAGCUGGACCAGCUUGUCGUGCUUCAGCUUCUUCAUGAUCUGCGCUUCCUCAAGGAAUGAUUCGGGGGACAUUGUGCCUGGUUUAAGAGUCUUUAUGGCUACUUUUGUGUUUCCAUUCCAGGUACCUACAAACAUCCCAGAAUAUGAAGUCAAACCAAAGAUCUUCUUUUGAUGGAAAAAGGUUUUGACCACCAGCUAUUUGCAUAAGAUUAGAUUUUAAAUUUAAAACACUUAAUACAGUUUUUGUUGAACAAAGACAUUCAAUUGCAAGGACUCUGUCAAGUAUUUUAACAGAAAAAAUGAGUUUAUUUGUGGUUAUGGCUAAGAUGGCUAUAUUAAGAUUUAUAACUCAUUAAAAUUUUUUUAAAUUUUGAUAUAUUACCACUCUCUCUUUUUUUGGCUCAGUCAUAUGAUUACACAUUUAUACCAAAAGCUCUGCACCAUACAGUGAUGAAAGUCCAGGGGUUGGAACAGGCCUGGCCAUCUAAUAGCUGUCCCUUAGGGAGUACAGUGUGCAUGGAAGAAAUUAGAUUAUUUAAGUUUAUGGGGUGUGCCAUUUAAAAAUAUGGCACCACAUGAGGAUGUCUGGAAAUUACCUCUAGACUUUCAAUGUCUGCAAUGGACAAGUUACUUGACUGAGUCCUUGCACAGGUGUGCCAAGCAUGCUGAUAAGCACUGGCAAGGAGCUCACAGUCUGCUUGCCAAUACUUCAACAAGGUAAGGCAAAUUUCCUCAGCUUUACUGAUGGCUAGCCACAAGAACAAUGGCUUCUGUCAGGUAGGUAGACAGGGGAAAUUAAACAGCAGCUGAGAGGGAACAGAAAUAUUUAAAUUUAGCAUGUUAAAAAAAAAUCUAGCAAAUCUGAAGGCAAGGCCUGGAUUAUGAUUGUCCUCAGUUACCUCAUCUGUAAAAUAUAGGAAUGGAACUGGAUUAUCUUUUGGGUCUCUUUCAGCCCCAGCAUUCAAAAAACAAAACCAUACCUAGGUUCUUUGUGUAUUCCAUUAUUAGACCUAUGAUGCUUAAGAAUAACUUUAUAAAGGGGAAGAAAUCUGCUAAUUUAGAUUAUUUUCUAUUUGAAAAAGAAGACUGGUUUAAAUUAAGAUUUUUAUAUUUAAUAUAACUGACUUUGGAAUUUAAGGAUUCUGUAAAUUGGAGUUCUUAUUAUCCUGUUAAAGACAUGGUUCAUACAAUUACAACAUGCAACCUACAAAAUAUAAAUUAU